This is a long non-coding RNA of Capra hircus (goat), 478 nucleotides long. RefSeq lists it as uncharacterized. Lineage: Eukaryota; Metazoa; Chordata; Mammalia; Artiodactyla; Bovidae. The record is from RefSeq and is a predicted model, not a curated record. The transcript has 2 exons.
CUAGCGCUACCAUAAUUCGCCUAAAGCAGGUGCAGCAACUUUCACCCGGCCCCGCAGCUGGCGGCGAGCGAAAGGAGACCACGUGGGCCAAACUUUAGAGGAAGAAAAAGUGGGGAAGACAUAGGGCUGCGAAUCUGUAAAAAGGAGGUCAUUCCGGACUCCUGACGCUGCCAGUCCCUUGGUGAGACGUGAGCGCCAUUGGCGUCCGUGGCCUCUGUUUCCGUGGCAACCCAGUAACCAUUAAUUUUCAAUUAAAGGAGACAAAAAGCUCGAUGACAGCUCCAGGUCUGCUGAAGAUGUCAAGAAUCUGUAUUAAUAUACAGCAAGAGAGCAUAAUUGUGUGUCCAUCUUCCAGAGCAGCGAAAAAUGGAGGGAUAAUUACCAGCUCGAAAGCCACUCUGUAAUUUAGUUCUUACUGUCACCACAGCCCUACACAUUAGCAUAAAUUAAAAGCAGAGUUUAUUGUUAUCAAAGUGCA